Long non-coding RNA from Esox lucius (northern pike), 4356 nucleotides. NCBI's taxonomy places the organism in Eukaryota, Metazoa, Chordata, Actinopteri, Esociformes, Esocidae. The record is from Ensembl.
GCAAGCCAAUGGUCAUUCUAUCCAUACCGUGCUGUUUGGUAACAACAGCAAUAAAAACACUUGGCGUGGGGGCCUCUUUCUGCAGCCAACUUUUUGUAACAGCUUUUUUGCUUGCAGCCAUGAAUUAAGAAAUGGAUUACAUUUUCAAUUUGCAAAAACAAGAUCCAAAAAGAAUAGUCUUCUAUGACACGACCAAGGAUGGACCGGAUCAGUGAGCUAGUGAAUGUCAACGCUAACCUAACUCCUUACCUGGGUGCUGCAGUUACCUAUGGCGGUUACGAUCCCUUUGCAAAACAAAACGAGUAAACUGUGAUACAAGGACUGAUGUCCUGUGACAUAUUUAUAUUGCCAUAUAGAUUGGGAUAAUGGAGACUUGUUUCUUGGGGGAAGGGUUAGUGUGUCAAAUAAGAGGACAACUACAAGGAGAAGGGGGAUAAGAGGACAAAUCUCAUUAUUGUAAAAAGUUGAGCGCAGGAGCUUUUGCCAAAGCUCUGGUCUUCACAAACACUCAAACACUUGAAAAAAGGAGAUUGGAUGCCUCUACCAUGUGAAUGGACUCUUGUGACACUUACUGCUGUAAUAGACAAUGGUCUCAUUGCUCCUUCCUCUGGAUGUUCGGGAGAAAUAAGACUGAGGAAGGUGCAAAUUGCACCUCCUGAGCCUUUAUUUUGUUGCCCAUUUAACUGUGGUGACUAUCAGCCUGACAGUAGGAUGCCUCAAUUGUUUUAUUUCCUUAUGCAUUCAAAUUUAGUUUUGUCUCUUCCACUCUGUGUGUGUGUGGUUCUGUGUGUGUGUGUGUGUGUGUGUGUGUGGUUCUGUGUGUGUGUGUGUGUGUGGUUCUGUGUGUGUGUGCGUGGAUUUAUACAUACACAUGAGUAUGUGCACAUUUUAAUUCAUUUUGAAAGAAAAUGAACAAACUCUCUAAGAAUGCCUUGAAUUUUGAAAAGCUGAAAAAGCUGAGCAGAAGGCUGGUAGUGUUAGUAGUACUGUCUCCAGGUUAAAUUAUAUUUAAGGGGAAAGCAUUUGUCUUAAUUGCUUUGUUAAACAAACUAUGCCCAGCAAAGAACUGGCUCCUGGGCAUUUCUUGUUUGAUAUAUAUUUUUUGUUUCUCUUGUAUGGUUCAGUGAUUUUAGAUGUGAUCUACAGUAGGAACAAACUCUAAGAGCACAGAUGGAGAAGUGUCCAAUUAGAACGGAACUAAAGCCACGUCCUCCUAAUCUGGUGGUUUGGUUGUCAGUUGGAGACUUUCUUUGGUAUUAUAUUUGUUUUCAUCAGUUUUAAUUUUUUUAAUUUAUUUGUAUUAAUUUGUUUCUUAAGCCCUUGCAUUUAUAGUCCACAUAUAUCAUUAAUUUCAGAUUAUGAUUGAGGCUAUUUUUAGUUUUAGUUUCUCAUCAGCUGUUCACGUGUGGAAAUUUUCUGGAAGAUGAGAAAAGUGACUUAAUGUGGAGCAAGGGCUAUCUAUGUAUGUGACAUUUCUUACAAAAAGUUUUUGUGUAUUUGAGCAGUAAGGAGGCUUAAAGUGUCUGUCUAAUUCAUUAGGCCUAUGUAGGUAAAAUUCGCUGAAACCACAUGAAGAAAUGGCUUAUUUUCUUGCCCAAGCUUGUCAUAGCUAACCACCCUAGCCUAGGAUACUUUGCUAUUUCAGCAUUUGGUCUUUAUCCACUCUCUGGUUAUGACAAUGUAUUUCUUGCACAUGUUUGCUGGUGUAGAUGAGUGAGUGGAUGAGAUGUGAGAAGUUGCAGUAUAAUAUAUUUAACCAAGCAAGGAUGACAGACUGAAAACAAUCGCAAUACUAAGUUACCAUUUCAUUUCCCAGACCAGAUGCUUUUUUUUGUUAUACUGUUUAUAUGUUGAGGUAAUGAAAUUACUUAAUACCAUAUCAUCCAGCAGUGUCUUUGAUCAUAGUGGCUGUGUUGAAGCCUGAUUAUGUCAUGGCAUGCCAAAUUUGGCAGAACUAUAAGUAGACAGCCACAAUGACAUUGGUACUACCAUCGUUCAGUUUAUUUUCUCUUGUUUGUUUUGAGCUAACGGAGCAAUUGUCUUAGUUAUAUUUCUCUGGUUAUUAUGUGGGUUAAUAGCACUUUAUUAAACUUUUUUUCUAAAAUACAGAUACUAUAUAUAGUUACAUGAAAUACUAACAUCUUUUAAGAAUGGCUUUUGGCUGUUGGUUCUUCUUAAGAAAAAAACAUGACCCCUUACCGAAAUACAAAAUUUCCCUCAGGUAGCAUUGGUAAAGCCAUGACAAAGUUGGAAGAAUUUUAUUUGUCUGCCAAAUGGUUCAACACAAGGUCUAUGUAUUGUGCUCCAAUUAUAGUAAUAAAAAAUAUAAUUUGAAUAGCUGAAAUAUUGGAGUAAUAUGUAAUUAUAAAUAGAGCUGUGGUAAUACACAAACUAUUUAGAUGGCAGAAAAAACUGCCAUGGCUUUAAAGUAGCUGUCAACAUAUUAGCAGGGCUGGGCGAUAUUAGCCAAAAAUUGUCAUGAUACACCCCCCAUCCGGAUGAUAUAUGGUAUAUUCCCUAAUGAUUAUGAUGGUUAUAAUGAUUAUGUAUUCCUCGCACAAAUACUUUAUUAAGAUAUAUUGAAAACUUUCAGCUUGUCAGUCAAUUUAAGUGGAAUUGAUGCGGUCCUAUUGUUUUGUGUUUUGGAGCUUGCUUAAAAUAAAAUAUUUCCAGGUUUUUGAUUUCCCCCAGGUUGUGUUUUGUUUAACUCAUAAAUAUGUAUGGUUACUUUCUAUUUGAGAAAAAACACAGUGGAUGUUCUAACUUCACAACAAUGCUUAAACCAAAUCAACCUUUGUGUUUUAUUUUUAUUUUGCAUGUACAACCCCCUUUUCCAAACAAAUUGGGCUGCUGUGUAAAAUGGAAAUAAAAACAGAAUGCUUAGAUGUGCAAAUCAUUUAAACCCUAUAUACAAUAGAAAAUAGUACACUGAAAACAUCAAAUGUUGAAACUUAAAAAUGUUAUUGUUCCUUAAACUAUAUGCCCACUUUAAUGCCAGGACCACAUUUCAAGAAAGCUGGGACAGGGGCAACAAAACACUGGAAAUGUUGUGUAAUGCAAAAAAACGAAUAUCACACAACUAAUUAGGUUAAUUCGCCACAGAUCAGUAACAUGAUUGAGCAUUAGAAGAGCAUCCCAGAGAGGGGGAGUCUUUCAGAAGUAAAGAUGGGGAAGGUUUCACCAUUCUGUGAAUGACUGUGUGGGCAAAUAGUGCAACAAUUUAAGAAUAAUGUUUCUUAACGUAUAAUUGCAAAGAGUUUGGGGAUCUCAUCAUCUACGGUACAUAAUAUCAUUAAAUGAUUCAGAGAAUCCAGAGAAAUCUGUAUGCAAGGGACAAGGCAAAAAAACUAUAUUGGAUGGCCAUGAUCUUCGGGCCCUCAGAUGGCACUGUAUUAAAAACAAACACGAUUCUGUUGUUGACAUCGCUGCAUGGUCUCCGGAAUAAAUCUGAAAACCAUUGUCUGUGAACAAAGUUUGUUGCUGCAUCCACAAAUGUAAAUUAAAACUCGACCAUGCAAAGAAGAAACCAGAUAUAAACAAGGUCCAGAAACGCUGCGGUGUCCUUUGGACCCAAGCUCAUUUAAGAUGGACUGAAGUGUGGGAAGAGGAAAACUGUCCUGUGGUCUGACAAAUCAAAAAUAUGAAUUAUUUUUGGGGUUCAUGGACGAAGCGUCUUUUGGGCUAAAAAGGAAAGGGAUCAUCCUGGAUGUUAGCAGUGCACAGUAAAAAAGCCAACAUCUGUGAUGGUAUGGGGGUGCGUCUUUUUCAGGGAAGGCCCUGCUUAUUUCAGCAGGACAAUGCCAAACCACAUUCUACAUGAAUUACUACAGCAUAGCCUCUUAGUAAAAGAGUCCAAGUGCUAAACUGGCCUGCCUACAAUUCAGACCUGUCACCCAUUGGAAAUAUUUGGUGCGUUAUGAUAGGAUAAAAUAGGACAAAGGAAACCCCGAACUGUCGAGCAGUUGCAAUCCUACAUCAAUCAAGAAUGGGAAAACAUUUUGCAUUCAUAACUACAGCAAUUGUUUGUCUCAGUUCCCAAAUGCUUACUGAGUGUUGUUAAAAGAAGAGGUGAUUCAACACAGCGGUAAACAUGCCCCGUCCAAACUUUUUUAAAACAUGUAGCUGGCAUCAAAUUCAAAAUGGGCAUAUAUAUUCUUCCAAAAACUAAAAUUUCUCUGGUUGUUUUUGUACUAUUUUCAAUUAAAUAUAGGGAUUAAAUUAUUUGCACGUCAUUGCAUUCUGUUUUUAUUCGUAUUUUACGCAGCGUCCAAACUUAUUUUGGAAGCAGGGCAAGAGACUUGUUUGGCUGGCUGUGUUUCUGUAACACACAUCAUCGCAGCAUUUUAUAAAUAUAUU